UAUUCUAAUUUUCUGAGAUACUGAAUUUGGGAUUUUCAUUAGUUGUCAGUUAUAAUCAUCAAAAUUAAAAGAAAUAAACAUUUGAAAUAUAGCAGUCUGUGUGUAAUGAAUGAAUAUAAUAUACAAGUUUCACUUUUUGAAUGGAAUUAGUGGAAUCAACUUUUUGAUGAUAUUCUAAUUAUAUGACCAGCACCUGUACACAUGGGCAACAUAAGGUCCUGGGCCAGAUGCAGCCCUUGGAGUGUUUCAAUUACAUUUAUGUAAUAGGCCCAUGAUGAGGCUGUAGCCUACCAAAAAUCAGUGAAAUACUGAGAAAUGUUGGGGCUACUAUAACAUGAAACAUCACUGGCAUGGCAUUCAACUCAACACAACUAGGCUAUGUAUAAAUUGUACAAUAUGUGGCCCCUAACUUGCCUCAUCAUAGUACAUGUGGCUAAAACUGUUGCCCAUAUGCUCUAGCUGCCCAUUUUAGGCUGGUGUGACAUCACUAACUCACAGACAAGCACUUGAGAAAGAGCGAUGUAGGGAAUUUAGACUACAUAUUUUGAUGUUUCUCAACAAAAAACAUUAACAAAUCGGCAAAAAAGUUGCAAGUCUAUAAAAUGUGAAUUCUAGUCGACUGAUUCGCUUUGUCGUUUUGUAUGCUACGUGUACUAGUUGAUUGGAUUAAAUUUGUGCCAUUAGCCUAAGUAAGGUUACCUAUUUUGGGACUUAAUUUCUUUAUCCAUGCAGUCUUAGAAACACUGAAGUCCCAAGGACUUCAUCGUGAAGAUGUCCUUGGGACAGUAGGGCCUUUUAAAAUCUUUCUGGGCAGUUUGGAGGCCCUUGUAGGCCCAUCUGAACUACCAGAUGAGGUAAUGGAUGCCCUAUUUUACAUAAUCAGCAGGAGCCAGCCUGGGACAGAGCCCAUAAAUAGCCAGGCUAUGCGCCUGAUUUUGGAAGGCAGCUCCAGGGCCAGGAGCACUUAUUUUCUAAAAAAAAACAUUCUUAAAGGAGCCAGUGCCAUCUUCGGGCCCUACUUGGUGGGAGAGUGCCACUGGACCCUCUUUGUAGGUUGCUUUUAGGUUAGGCUGCCACACAACUGACACGCAACAGACACGCGACUGUUGUGAGUGCGUUCACAACACUGCAGUGACGCCGCUGACGUA
Molecule: long non-coding RNA, 1148 nt
Organism: Cyprinus carpio (common carp)
Lineage: Eukaryota; Metazoa; Chordata; Actinopteri; Cypriniformes; Cyprinidae
Source: Ensembl